This 253-nucleotide ribosomal RNA is filed under the name uncultured bacterium. RNAcentral describes it as "partial 16S ribosomal RNA". It matches the Rfam family "Bacterial small subunit ribosomal RNA", at positions 524 to 776 of the family's 1533-position model. The record is from RNAcentral.
UACGUAGGGUGCGAGCGUUAAUCGGAAUUACUGGGCGUAAAGCGUGCGCAGGCGGUUUUGUAAGCCAGAUGUGAAAUCCCCGGGCUUAACCUGGGAAUGGCAUUUGGGACUGCAAGGCUUGAGUGCGGCAGAGGAGACUGGAAUUCCUGGUGUAGCAGUGAAAUGCGUAGAUAUCAGGAGGAACACCGAUGGCGAAGGCAGGUCGCUGGGCUGACACUGACGCUCAUGCACGAAAGCGUGGGGAGCAAACAGG